This 468-nucleotide ribosomal RNA is filed under the name uncultured bacterium. RNAcentral's name for it is "partial 16S ribosomal RNA". It matches the Rfam family "Bacterial small subunit ribosomal RNA", at positions 28 to 507 of the family's 1533-position model. The record is from RNAcentral.
GACGAACGCUGGCGGCGUGCUUAACACAUGCAAGUCGAACGGAAAGGCCCUGCUUUUGUGGGGUGCUCGAGUGGCGAACGGGUGAGUAACACGUGAGUAACCUGCCCUUGACUUUGGGAUAACUUCAGGAAACUGGGGCUAAUACCGGAUAGGAGCUCCUGCUGCAUGGUGGGGGUUGGAAAGUUUCGGCGGUUGGGGAUGGACUCGCGGCUUAUCAGCUUGUUGGUGGGGUAGUGGCUUACCAAGGCUUUGACGGGUAGCCGGCCUGAGAGGUUGACCGGCCACAUGGGGACUGAGGUACGGCCCAGACUCCUACGGUAGACAGCAGUGGGGAAUAUUGCACAAUGGGCGGAAGCCUGAUGCAGCAACGCCGCGUGCGUGAUGACGGCCUUCGGGUUGUAAACCGCUUUCGCCUGUGACGAAGCGUGAGUGACGGUAAUGGGUAAAGAAGCACCGGCUAACUACGUG